Molecule: long non-coding RNA, 2406 nt
Filed under: Triticum aestivum (bread wheat)
Lineage: Eukaryota; Viridiplantae; Streptophyta; Magnoliopsida; Poales; Poaceae
Description: long non-coding RNA (TAES_LNC028571)
Source: RNAcentral
UAGUAACUAAUUUGGAUUUAAAAAAAUAAAAAUCUACCUAUUCCACUUUAGACAUACAUUUCAUAGUACUCACGUAACAUGCAUUACAUAAUAGUACAUGUUUUGCAUACAGUCAAUAAUACAUAUUUGAUAUAGAUAAUUAAUACACACACAUAUAUAUAUAUAUACAAUAUACGCCACACGUAUAGGUCGUCAGCGUCGGCACCUCCACAAGCCCGUGUUGAUGUCGUCGGUGUCGCCGCCGCCGCAGCACCGUGAUGAUGUUGUCGUCGUCGUGGUCGGUGCCACAGCACCGUGAGGAUGCCGUCGUCAUCGCUGCAGCAGCCCCGUGUCGAUGUUGAUGCCGUCAACGCCGCCACCCCAGCCCCGUGUAGAUGUCAAUGUCGAUGCACCUAAUUGAUGUGAAAAUGGAUAGGGAGCAUAGAGCAGAUCAAUGGUUCAAACUUUCAAAGGCUUGACAUUGGAUUCGCUUUGGUAUGCUUACGAAAAAGUGCAGAAAAAACAAAGUCAUGUUGAACUCUAGACUACAUCAUUUUGUUCUAUGUUAGUGAUGUCUUGUAGAUAGUUAGCAUAUUUAUAUAACUCAAAUUCACUUUAUGUAUACUUAGCAGAUUGGUGCCAACCAGAUGAACACCAUGAGGCAGAGGGUUACCUAAACAGACAACACCAGUAGCAACGAGGCAAAAGGAAACUAGGAAGUAAUCUCUAGUUUCUAUUUUUUUAAGUGAGCAUUUUACCACACCUGAUGUUUCCCAUGAGGGAGGUUGUUGUUCAUUUUGUGAUUCUCUUCUGCCAAAUGUUUACCAUGAAUAGUUUCAUUCUUAUAAAGCUAAUUUCCCUUGUCUUUUUCUCAUUAAUCCAUUAUAGUUAUUAAUUGGAUAAAUCCCACGAGUAAGAAAGCAGUGAAACUAAAUUUAGGGUCGCAUACCUGGGCAUUCUCACUCUUAUGUAUAUAUAUAUGCAGAUAAAAAGCUCUAAUAGUAAACCCAAGAACCAAUAUAUGCAGCUAGUACAUUCUCCCAGAUUUGUCUGCUAAGAACAUGCAAAUACUGAUUGUAGAUGUCGUGGAGCCAUCGCCUACAAAAGAAAUGAGUAAAUUUAUAAGAACAUGCUCCCUAUAUGCAGAAAGUGGUAAACCUAUUAAGUUAAGAGGAAGAGGGUGGUGAGAGGGGGUCUGGGCAGAGGUUUCCUAGCCAUAUUAAAUCCGCUGCCCAAUUGGCUAUAAUUAAUAGAAACAGUAUACAAAUUCUGAAUUUUCUGGACGACAUUGGCCUAAGAAAACAAACUAAAUGAGGAAUUUAGCUACAAUGCAACCGAAGAUAACCUAUUGAAGCUGAGGUCUCAUACUCCUAGAAAUUGCUCGCACUUAACCUACAACUAGAACGUAGGACCUAUGUUCACUAACAGUUCGAACUCCACAUGACUUGUGACUGCAAUCAGAAUUCUGCGUUCCAGUUGUAAUAUUUGCUCAAAGAAAUAUCUAGGACCGAAACUCUGUCAGUUUCAUUUCCAAAAUGUCGAGUAAUUACCAUGAACCAGGGUGUAUCGAGGACAUGGCGUUUUCACCAAGAAUCAUUGCUACAAGGCGUACAUACAUACAGGCAAAGCAAUUUUCACCAAGAAUCAGCUAGCAGUCUAAUAUAAUCCCCUUUCCAAUUACUCAAGGAGGAACUGAUGAAAAAAGACAAGUUAAUUAGCUGGGUACAAAAAUUAAACCUUUUGAGAUGGACGGAUGCCCUCUUCACUCAGAUCUGAAGAUGAUGGACGGAUGCACCCAGCAGCUUUGUCACGGACGGCGACGGAGGAGAAGAACUUUGCACAAACCUUCCCACUCUGUCGCUAUCUUCUACCUGUAAAUGAAAACAGACCUUACUUAUCAGAGAAGCAAAUGUGAAAUUGUUCAGAUUAGAUGUAUUCAACAGAGACACUUCAAUCACGGACGGACAUACAAAUACAGCUCAUGCUGCUCUCGAUCCGCUGUCAGGGAUCCCCCACACCCGUAUAGGCGUCCAUCAUCCUGUCUCCCUCUCCCCCACUCGAUCGUGUGUCGUCCGCGUCCAAGCAGCUGCCAUCUAUAAGAAACUUUAUACGUAAACGACUAGUCAGAAUACGUAAACGACUACUCUGCGAGGUUUUCAUCUAAGAAACUAUCUACAGACUCCCCGCCGCCGCCAACAAAGGGAACCGCCGGAGAUGGACAGGGAGAGAGGCAGGGGAGCGGCGACGUGCGUGCUUGCGUGCUUACCCCUGCGGCGCGAAGGGCCGGAUCGGGACGACGACGGUGACAGAUGGCGACGGGGAAGGAAGAGACGAUGCCGCGCGGAGGCCGGGAGCCCGUCCUUGGCUGCUGGAGACGCCGAGCAGCAAUUUCCGUUGUGUGCGGGGGCCUCCGAUGGACAGCAGNNN